Molecule: long non-coding RNA, 716 nt
Filed under: Phasianus colchicus (ring-necked pheasant)
Lineage: Eukaryota; Metazoa; Chordata; Aves; Galliformes; Phasianidae
Description: lncRNA (ENSPCLG00000003393.1)
Source: RNAcentral
GUAGACAACAGAGGAUAUUACAUGCCGAUUAACACAUACACAUUCGUUGUCGCACAAAUGACAACGACUGCAAGCGUCGGGGGGGUGAAGGAAAGCACCUAUCACGUCUGAGGGGCGAGGGAAAGCGGAGGGAAAGCACGUUACAAACUUCAGUUUAAAGAGUAAUCUAAGCCCUUUAUUCAGAUCUAGAGUCCACGUGGCUCACUGUCGGGGCCCUAACGAGGUCCGGCUGCGCCAACGAGGCAACGACUCCCAGGUGCCGCGGCCGCCCGGGCACAGCUGCGGCUCGUCGGGAGCUCAGGGCACGGCCCGCCCCGACGCCUUUUAAGCUCCGCCGGAGGCCGCUGGGAGCAGUGAGGGGGGUUUCUGAGGCUCCUUUGCCUCUGGGAGUGGGCUGCGUUCGUUUCUCCGGUCCUAGCGCUACGGGGGUUGGAAAGCAGCGUUGCUGCUCUCGCGGCUCAGCGAGGGCUGCGGCGGAGCGUCUCGUCAGUCCAAACCGGAAAGACGGCGCGGUGAGGUGGUGGAGCAUCAUCUCUCUUCCCGUGAGAGAACAGGAAUGUAUUGUGCCCCGCCUCGGGAGGAGUGAAGAACUAAGCGGAGCGGUUGCGUGCGAGGCUGAAACAGCAGGAGGCUCCUGCAAUGUGCUGAAGGAAGAACUUUGGACACGGGUGAUGGAGGAGCGCCUCUGGAGUUUGCUCUCCCUGUUGAGGAAGUGA